AGUGGGGAAUAUUGCACAAUGGGCGCAAGCCUGAUGCAGCGACGCCGCGUGAGGGAUGACGGCCUUCGGGUUGUAAACCUCUUUCAGUACCGACGAAGCGCAAGUGACGGUAGGUACAGAAGAAGCACCGGCCAACUACGUGCCAGCAGCCGCGGUAAUACGUAGGGUGCGAGCGUUGUCCGGAAUUACUGGGCGUAAAGAGCUCGUAGGCGGUUUGUCGCGUCGUCUGUGAAAACCCGCAGCUCAACUGCGGGCUUGCAGGCGAUACGGGCAGACUUGAGUACUGCAGGGGAGACUGGAAUUCCUGGUGUAGCGGUGAAAUGCGCAGAUAUCAGGAGGAACACCGGUGGCGAAGGCGGGUCUCUGGGCAGUAACUGACGCUGAGGAGCGAAAGCGUGGGUAGCGAACAGGAUUAGAUACCCUGGUAGUCCACGCCGUAAACGGUGGGCGCUAGGUGUGGGUUU
This 464-nucleotide ribosomal RNA is filed under the name Rhodococcus sp. C20L. RNAcentral's name for it is "bacterial SSU rRNA". It matches the Rfam family "Bacterial small subunit ribosomal RNA", at positions 353 to 829 of the family's 1533-position model. The record is from RNAcentral. Lineage: Bacteria; Bacillati; Actinomycetota; Actinomycetes; Mycobacteriales; Nocardiaceae.